Molecule: ribosomal RNA, 664 nt
Filed under: Moraxella sp.
Lineage: Bacteria; Pseudomonadati; Pseudomonadota; Gammaproteobacteria; Moraxellales; Moraxellaceae
Description: bacterial SSU rRNA
Rfam family: Bacterial small subunit ribosomal RNA
Source: RNAcentral
AGGAAUCUGCCUAGCUAGUGGGGGAUAGCUCGGGGAAACUCGAAUUAAUACCGCAUACGACCUAUCGGGUGAAAGGGGGCGCAAGCUCUUGCUAUUAGAUGAGACCUAAAUCAGAUUAGCUAGUUGGUGGGGUAAAGGCCCACCAAGGCGACGAUCUGUAACUGGUCUGAGAGGAUGAUCAGUCACACGCGGAACUGAGACACGGUCCGGACUCCUACGGGAGGCAGCAGUGGGGAAUAUUGGACAAUGGGGGCAACCCUGAUCCAGCCAUGCCGCGUGUGUGAAGAAGGCCUUUUGGUUGUAAAGCACUUUAAGCAGGGAGGAGAGGCUAAUGGUUAAUACCCAUUAGAUUAGACGUUACCUGCAGAAUAAGCACCGGCUAACUCUGUGCCAGCAGCCGCGGUAAUACAGAGGGUGCGAGCGUUAAUCGGAAUUACUGGGCGUAAAGCGAGUGUAGGUGGCUCAUUAAGUCACAUGUGAAAUCCCCGGGCUUAACCUGGGAACUGCAUGUGAUACUGGUGGUGCUAGAAUAUGUGAGAGGGAAGUAGAAUUCCAGGUGUAGCGGUGAAAUGCGUAGAGAUCUGGAGGAAUACCGAUGGCGAAGGCAGCUUCCUGGCAUAAUAUUGACACUGAGAUUCGAAAGCGUGGGUAGCAAACAGGAUUA